Molecule: long non-coding RNA, 1893 nt
Organism: Pavo cristatus (Indian peafowl)
Lineage: Eukaryota; Metazoa; Chordata; Aves; Galliformes; Phasianidae
Source: Ensembl
CUGAACCUCUAUUUAUCACAAGUUUCUGUGCAGACAGAAAAGGAGAGCAUAUGCAACUCAGGCAGACUCAGACAGCAGACUGGGACUUGCACCCAAAUAGGGGCCUCUAGCCUCUACUUUCUCAUGCUGCCAUCUCUGCUCCUCUCCUCUCCCACAUACGCCUUUGCCCCAUGUAGUGACUUAACACAACAAAUCCUAGGAGUGUAUUUUACAGGGUUUGAAGAAGGCUCAGCACCUUUGAAAUGCAAAGCUCAUUAGUUCUAGUGCUCCUGGGACAAUGAAGCUUUGGUUUUCACAGAUUGUGUUCUCCAUCCAACCCAGCUCUUCCACCCACCCUACAAAGCUCUUUCCCAUACACCAAACUGAGUGUCAUCUGCUGCCUGGGCGACAGGCAGCGCACAUUACAGCUCACGAGUACCUACGUGUUCCUACUCCAGAGCAGAAGUUUUCCUACCCCACCCCAUCACCACAGUGGCUUCCGAGGAAAGUUAGCCUGUGUGAAGAAACAGCAACUGGGCGCAUGAUGAUCAGUAUGCAUGUAUGUAAUAGCCUGAACAGCAGCCCUGAGCUCUGAGUAAAAACAGCUAAGAAGCAAUCCUCAUCCAGGGCAUUUCUGGCUCUUGGCUUCUUCCAGGAGAACAGGGAGCACAAACACUAAAGCAGGAUUCUUGCAGGGAGAGGAUGAGACCUAGGGACUUCCUAAGACUCAUCUGUGGACACAGCUUUGCCCAGAAAAAGGAUGUUAAUAAGCUCUGUUUAACCCACACGAGCACCUGCAACAAUGUUUGAUGUUACAUGCACACCCUCUGCGGUCAGCCAGAUGCUCACACUGGUGCCUCACUUCCUUUCCAGCACUUUCUAUACGCUCCCAAGAAAACCUCACCUCCCCACUUCCCUUUUUUAAGUCCCCACCAUCUUCAUUCCUCUUUUGUGAGGGGCCUGCUCUAACCUCAGUGCCAGAAGUGAACGUAUUUCCUUCUCAGGCCUUCUGCAACAGUAUUAAAUUAUUUAGUCUGUAUUGACAGGUUUUCUUCUCUUUUAGUUUUUCCAGUGGAAAGAAGAUGCAAUGAUUUUGCUCUCGCGUAUCCAUGCUGAGCAUGAAAAUCUCAGCUAGAAAGCUACACAAUUUUUCAUGAGGGAAGAACAUCAAAGAAAGGUUUGGUGAUUUGCCUGGCUGUGACCACAGCCUCUACUGGCCAAUGAGACUGCACACACCUAAAGCCUGCAGAAGCAGAGCUGAAUAACACAUGCAGGAAAACUAUUUCCCACAUGAGCUCAUGAACUAGUUGACAAGGUUAUCAUACCACAUCACAUGCAAGCACGUGUGGAAGUCUGCUCAGUUCCCAAUGCACCUAUGUAGGCAUAGGGGUCUGCUCAAGGAUACUGUAAGAUCAGGGCACAACACUCAACGGAGAAGCUCUGCUAGGCAUACGAACACCUAGUAGUUCCUUCCGAUCAUCCUGUCUGUACCACAUCCUUGUACCACCCCUCCCUGUUCCUCAGCCAUAGCAGCCUUUCUUAGUAGAAAGUGUUUUUCAGCCUCUCUCAAACACAAAAGAAAAAUUCAGCCAACAAGAUGACACAGACAGAGCCAUUAGAAAGCAAAUACAGGAACACUGUAAGUCACUUUCAAUGGAGAGCAACAAAGAAUUAAAAAUCCAGUCCAAAUAUUGAUGGAAGGGGGAGAAGAACUGAGAGCAGAGCACAAAAGGAAAACUUUCACAGUUAUUUUUCUCAGCCUACCUUUAAGGUGCCACCCUUCCUUGUUAAGAUGAAGCCUAGUUUUCACAAUUCCUGUGCUUGGAAGGCAAAGAUUCUGCUUCUUACAUCUUGUCCCUGCGUAAGACAAAAAAGAAAGAAGAGAAGUGAAUCUAUCUUUGUCAAGGAAAUUUA